Molecule: ribosomal RNA, 512 nt
Filed under: uncultured bacterium
Lineage: Bacteria
Description: partial 16S ribosomal RNA
Rfam family: Bacterial small subunit ribosomal RNA
Source: RNAcentral
GAUGAACGCUGGCGGCGUGCCUAAUACAUGCAAGUCGAACGAAACUUCUUUAUCACCGAGUGCUUGCACUCACCGAUAAAGAGUUGAGUGGCGAACGGGUGAGUAACACGCGGGCAACCUGCCCAAAAGAGGGGGAUAACACUUGGAAACAGGUGCUAAUACCGCAUAACCAUAGUUACCGCAUGGUAACUAUGUAAAAGGUGGCUAUACUACCGCCUUUGGAUGGGCCCGCGGCGCAUUAGCUAGUUGGUAGGGUAAAGGCUUACCAAGGCAAUGAUGCGUAGCCGAAUUGAGAGGUUGAUCGGCCACAUUGGGACUGAGACACGGCCCAAACUCCUACGGGAGGCAGCAGUAGGGAAUCUUCCACAAUGGGCGAAAGCCUGAUGGAGCAACGCCGCGUGGGUGAAGAAGGUCUUCGGAUCGUAAAACCCUGUUGUUAGAGAAGAAAGUGCGUGAGAGUAACUGUUCACGUUUCGACGGUAUCUAACCAGAAAGCCACGGCUAACUACGUG